UUUGGCUUAUUUUAAGUCAGAGACCAAGCGAAAGCGUUAAGCAUCCCACCUGGGGAGUACGCCGGCAACGGUGAAACUCAAAGGAAUUGACGGGGGCCCGCACAAGCGGAGGAACAUGUGGUUUAAUUCGAUGAUACGCGAGGAACCUUACCCGGGCUUGAAUUGCCAGAGACGGCUCCAGAGAUGGAGCUUCCCUUCGGGGCUCUGGUGAAGGUGCUGCAUGGUUGUCGUCAGCUCGCGCCGUGAGGUGUCGGCUUAAGUGCCAUAACGAGCGCAACCCCUUUCUUCAGUUGCCAUCGGGUAAUGCCGGGCACUCUGUAGAUACUGCCGCCGUAAGGUGUGAGGAAGGUGGGGAUGACGUCAAAUCAGCACGGCCCUUACGUCCGGGGCUACACACGUGUUACAAUGGGGGGCACAGCGAGCGGGAUGCCCGCAAGGUCAUUCAAAUCAAUAAAUCCCCCCUCAGUUCGGACUGGGGUCUGCAACACGACCCCACGAAGCUGGAUUCGCUAGUAAUCGCGCAUCAGCCAUGGCGCGGUGAAUACGUUCCCGGGCCUUGUACACACCGCCCGUCAAGCCAUGAAAGCCGGGGGUGCC
RNAcentral lists this ribosomal RNA (597 nucleotides) under uncultured bacterium. RNAcentral's name for it is "bacterial SSU rRNA". It matches the Rfam family "Bacterial small subunit ribosomal RNA", at positions 822 to 1421 of the family's 1533-position model. The record is from RNAcentral.